RNAcentral lists this ribosomal RNA (253 nucleotides) under uncultured bacterium. Its description in RNAcentral is "partial 16S ribosomal RNA". It matches the Rfam family "Bacterial small subunit ribosomal RNA", at positions 524 to 776 of the family's 1533-position model. The record is from RNAcentral.
UACGAGUGCCUCAAGCGUUAUCCGGAAUUAUUGGGCGUAAAGGUUGUGUAGGUGGUCGUGUUAGUCUCUUGUCAAAUUCUUCGGCUUAACCGGGGGCUCGCAAGGGAAACGGCACGACUAGAGGAUGCGAGGGGUCUGCGGAACUCAUAGUGUAGCGGUGAAAUGCGUUGAUAUUAUGGGGAACACCAAAAGCGAAGGCAGCAGACUGGAGCACUCCUGACACUGAAACAAGAAAGCGUGGGUAGCGAAUGGG